AGACGUGAGAGUGAUCUGGCUGUGACAUCUGUCACCCUGAUGAGCUGAUGGUCGCCAGGGUUGAUUUGUUUGAUCUGGCUGGCUAAUCCCCUUCAUCCCUCAUCCCUCCAGAAGCUGCAGGUUCAGUGCUCCGACAGAGGAGGACCAUUCCUCAGUCAAGGGCAUGUGAGUACCUGUGCUCCCCUGCUGAAACCUCCAAACAAGCUCUCCAAACUGGUGUUACAGCUCGGUGGUAAAGCAUGUGUUCAGUGUGCACUUGGGUUCAAU
RNAcentral lists this small nuclear RNA (267 nucleotides) under Cavia porcellus (domestic guinea pig). Its description in RNAcentral is "7SK RNA". It matches the Rfam family "7SK RNA". Rfam says of the family: 7SK was discovered as an abundant small nuclear RNA in the mid-70s but a possible function has only recently been suggested. Two independent studies have found that 7SK RNA binds the CDK9/cyclin T complex (known as elongation factor P-TEFb). Lineage: Eukaryota; Metazoa; Chordata; Mammalia; Rodentia; Caviidae. The record is from Rfam by way of RNAcentral.